AUGUUUUCUUCUUCCAUGACAGACAUAGCUUUGCUUCUCAUGGAUGUUUGCUUCUCGUGGAGGCAUAAAUUUGCUCCCGCGAGUGGCAUAACUGUGCCUGUUGAAAAGAAAAAAAAACACGUGUUUUUCCUCUACGAGAGGCAUAAUUGUGCCUCACGGAAAGGAAAAAACGUGUUCUUUUUUUUUGCGAGAGGCACAUAUUUUCUUUGGCGAGAAGCACAAAUGUGCCUCUCGAAAAUGGGAAAAAGUGAAAAAAAAUUUGUGUUUUCGGCUCGGUUUUUUCUUCUGGUUUUUCCUUUCUUUGUGAAAAAAUGGUUUGUCCAAACCUAUUAA
Molecule: ribosomal RNA, 333 nt
Filed under: Triticum aestivum (bread wheat)
Lineage: Eukaryota; Viridiplantae; Streptophyta; Magnoliopsida; Poales; Poaceae
Description: partial small subunit ribosomal RNA
Source: RNAcentral